GGUCAAGUGAAGAAGCGCAUACGGUGGAUGCCUUGGCAGUCAGAGGCGAUGAAAGACGUGGUAGCCUGCGAAAAGCUUCGGGGAGUCGGCAAACAGACUUUGAUCCGGAGAUCUCUGAAUGGGGGAACCCACCUAGGAUAACCUAGGUAUCUUGUACUGAAUCCAUAGGUGCAAGAGGCGAACCAGGGGAACUGAAACAUCUAAGUACCCUGAGGAAAAGAAAUCAACCGAGAUUCCCUUAGUAGUGGCGAGCGAACGGGGAUUAGCCCUUAAGCUUCAUUGAUUUUAGCGGAACGCUCUGGAAAGUGCGGCCAUAGUGGGUGAUAGCCCCGUACGCGAAAGGAUCUUUGAAGUGAAAUCGAGUAGGACGGAGCACGAGAAACUUUGUCUGAACAUGGGGGGACCAUCCUCCAAGGCUAAAUACUACUGACUGACCGAUAGUGAACCAGUACCGUGAGGGAAAGGCGAAAAGAACCCCGGAGAGGGGAGUGAAAUAGAACCUGAAACCGUAUGCGUACAAGCAGUGGGAGCCUACUUGUUAGGUGACUGCGUACCUUUUGUAUAAUGGGUCAGCGACUUAUAUUCAGUGGCAAGCUUAACCGUAUAGGGUAGGCGUAGCGAAAGCGAGUCUUAAUAGGGCGUUUAGUCGCUGGGUAUAGACCCGAAACGGGCGAUCUAUCCAUGAGCAGGUUGAAGGUUAGGUAACACUGACUGGAGGACCGAACCCACUCCCGUUGAAAAGGUAGGGGAUGACUUGUGGAUCGGAGUGAAAGGCUAAUCAAGCUCGGAGAUAGCUGGUUCUCCUCGAAAGCUAUUUAGGUAGCGCCUCAUGUAUCACUCUGGGGGGUAGAGCACUGUUUCGGCUAGGGGGUCAUCCCGACUUACCAAACCGAUGCAAACUCCGAAUACCCAGAAGUGCCGAGCAUGGGAGACACACGGCGGGUGCUAACGUCCGUCGUGAAAAGGGAAACAACCCAGACCGCCAGCUAAGGUCCCAAAGUUGUGGUUAAGUGGUAAACGAUGUGGGAAGGCUUAGACAGCUAGGAGGUUGGCUUAGAAGCAGCCAUCCUUUAAAGAAAGCGUAAUAGCUCACUAGUCGAGUCGGCCUGCGCGGAAGAUGUAACGGGGCUCAAACCACACACCGAAGCUGCGGGUGUCACGUAAGUGACGCGGUAGAGGAGCGUUCUGUAAGCCUGUGAAGGUGAGUUGAGAAGCUUGCUGGAGGUAUCAGAAGUGCGAAUGCUGACAUGAGUAACGACAAUGGGUGUGAAAAACACCCACGCCGAAAGACCAAGGGUUCCUGCGCAACGUUAAUCGACGCAGGGUUAGUCGGUUCCUAAGGCGAGGCUGAAAAGCGUAGUCGAUGGGAAACAGGUUAAUAUUCCUGUACUUCUGGUUACUGCGAUGGAGGGACGGAGAAGGCUAGGCCAGCUUGGCGUUGGUUGUCCAAGUUUAAGGUGGUAGGCUGAAAUCUUAGGUAAAUCCGGGGUUUCAAGGCCGAGAGCUGAUGACGAGUCGUCUUUUAGAUGACGAAGUGGUUGAUGCCAUGCUUCCAAGAAAAGCUUCUAAGCUUCAGGUAACCAGGAACCGUACCCCAAACCGACACAGGUGGUCGGGUAGAGAAUACCAAGGCGCUUGAGAGAACUCGGGUGAAGGAACUAGGCAAAAUGGCACCGUAACUUCGGGAGAAGGUGCGCCGGCUAGGGUGAAGGAUUUACUCCGUAAGCUCUGGCUGGUCGAAGAUACCAGGCCGCUGCGACUGUUUAUUAAAAACACAGCACUCUGCAAACACGAAAGUGGACGUAUAGGGUGUGACGCCUGCCCGGUGCCGGAAGGUUAAUUGAUGGGGUUAGCGCAAGCGAAGCUCUUGAUCGAAGCCCCGGUAAACGGCGGCCGUAACUAUAACGGUCCUAAGGUAGCGAAAUUCCUUGUCGGGUAAGUUCCGACCUGCACGAAUGGCGUAACGAUGGCGGCGCUGUCUCCACCCGAGACUCAGUGAAAUUGAAAUCGCUGUGAAGAUGCAGUGUAUCCGCGGCUAGACGGAAAGACCCCGUGAACCUUUACUGUAGCUUUGCACUGGACUUUGAGCCUGCUUGUGUAGGAUAGGUGGGAGGCUUUGAAGCGUGGACGCCAGUUCGCGUGGAGCCAUCCUUGAAAUACCACCCUGGCAUGCUUGAGGUUCUAACUCUGGUCCGUGAUCCGGAUCGAGGACAGUGUAUGGUGGGCAGUUUGACUGGGGCGGUCUCCUCCUAAAGAGUAACGGAGGAGUACGAAGGUGCGCUCAGACCGGUCGGAAAUCGGUCGCAGAGUAUAAAGGCAAAAGCGCGCUUGACUGCGAGACAGACACGUCGAGCAGGUACGAAAGUAGGUCUUAGUGAUCCGGUGGUUCUGUAUGGAAGGGCCAUCGCUCAACGGAUAAAAGGUACUCCGGGGAUAACAGGCUGAUACCGCCCAAGAGUUCAUAUCGACGGCGGUGUUUGGCACCUCGAUGUCGGCUCAUCACAUCCUGGGGCUGAAGCCGGUCCCAAGGGUAUGGCUGUUCGCCAUUUAAAGUGGUACGCGAGCUGGGUUUAGAACGUCGUGAGACAGUUCGGUCCCUAUCUGCCGUGGACGUUUGAGAUUUGAGAGGGGCUGCUCCUAGUACGAGAGGACCGGAGUGGACGAACCUCUGGUGUUCCGGUUGUCACGCCAGUGGCAUUGCCGGGUAGCUAUGUUCGGAAAAGAUAACCGCUGAAAGCAUCUAAGCGGGAAACUUGCCUCAAGAUGAGAUCUCACUGGGAACUUGAUUCCCCUGAAGGGCCGUCGAAGACUACGACGUUGAUAGGCUGGGUGUGUAAGCGUUGUGAGGCGUUGAGCUAACCAGUACUAAUUGCCCGUGAGGCUUGACCAU
This 2890-nucleotide ribosomal RNA is filed under the name Pseudomonas aeruginosa. RNAcentral's name for it is "23S ribosomal RNA". It matches the Rfam family "Bacterial large subunit ribosomal RNA". Lineage: Bacteria; Pseudomonadati; Pseudomonadota; Gammaproteobacteria; Pseudomonadales; Pseudomonadaceae. The record is from RNAcentral.